Molecule: ribosomal RNA, 305 nt
Filed under: uncultured bacterium
Lineage: Bacteria
Description: bacterial SSU rRNA
Rfam family: Bacterial small subunit ribosomal RNA
Source: RNAcentral
GCUCCUCCUGUAGGCAGCAGUCGGGAAUAUUGCGCAAUGGAGGAAACUCUGCCUCCUUUCCUCCUCUUUCCUUCCUCCUUUUUUCUGAUUGUAAACUGCUUUAGACAUUUCAUAUAAUGACAGUACCUGUAGAAUAAGCACCGGCUAACUCCGUGCCAGCAGCCGCGGUAAUACGGAGGGUGCAAGCGUUACUCGGAAUCACUGGUCGUAAAGAGCGCGUAGGCGGGAUAGCAAGUCAGAUGUGAAAUCCUAUGGCUUAACCAUAGAACUGCAUUUGAAACUGUUAUUCUAGAGUAUGGGAGAGG